Molecule: long non-coding RNA, 1580 nt
Organism: Junco hyemalis (dark-eyed junco)
Lineage: Eukaryota; Metazoa; Chordata; Aves; Passeriformes; Passerellidae
Source: Ensembl
CCGCUUCCGCGCCACCGCCCCGCCCGGCCCGGCUCGCGACCCCUGGGAGCCCCGGCCCGGCCGCGCGGGGUGUCCGCCGCCCUUCCCCGCUGUGCCGCCCGGCCUGCGAGCGCGAAGCCCGUGGAGGGCCGGGGAGGCUCCGGGACGAGCGCACGGAGGGCUCCUUGUCCGGCGGGGCCGCGCCAGGGCUCCCCCGGUCCGCACACGUGGGACGGGCUCACGCGGAGCGGGAUCGCCUGCCCGGCAAUGUCACCCCCCGGUGUCUCUUCUCCCCUCUGGGCGAGCCCCGGCGCGGCUGAACAACUCCGAAGGGACGUACACGGUUCUUGCCCGCGGCAGAACCGGCGCUCGCCGCCCCGCCGGGCAGGUCAGAGCCCAGGGACCGCGGGUCCCCCGGCCAGGGUUCCCCCCCAGCCCGGGGAGCCGGUCCCGGCGGGGAGCCCCGGAGCCGCGCCGUGCCCGUCCCGUCCCUCCCCCGCUAUCCCUGCCCGCCCCGGCAGCGCUCCGGGGCUCGUUUGCAUUUCAGAGCAGCCGGUUCGCCGGCGCUGAUUCCCAGAACUGCCGCACGGGGUUGGUCUCUGCCGGGCAGCGGCCGCUCCUCCGGGGCAAAUUAAACUGUUUAAAAUAAACCCACGGACAGAGCUCGGGUUGUGUGCGAGCUCGGAACCAACAAUUGCCAAACGGGUGGGGAGGGGAGCUCCGGCGCCGAUCCUCCCGCCGGGCACGGUCCCCCACCGGGGCUCGGGCCGUGGGCCCGGGGCGGGCGGGGGGCUGAGGAGUCCCCGAGCCCCGGGGAGCAGCCACGGGCAGGGGGCUCGGCUCCGCCGGGCUCCCCACCAGCCCACACGGCCCGCAGACCGGCCGAAGCACCAACCGCGCGGAUCUCCGGGGCUCCCGUAACCUCCGCCGCCCGGAGCGGAGCCGGGAGCCCCCGCACAGCCCCGGGCGCGGAUUCCCCCUUGUCCCCGGCCCGAGGGUAGCCCGCGGGUCCCCCAGGAAGCGCGGCCGACGCUGGCCUUGCUCGGAAAUCAGGGCUGAGAACGUGGGACCGGCAGCCCCCGCUCCGUGUACCCCGGUGUACGCCCGGUGUGCCCCCCAUCAGCCGAGCCCAGACUCUCGCCAGGGCGGACCCGCGGCCCGGCUGCCCCAGCAGAGCGGGGGGCGGCGAAGGCCCCCAGGGGCCGGCCCGGACUCUGCGCUUCUCCGCAGGCCGCGGGCGGGGGCAGCCGCCCUGCCCAGAAUGGGCUGUCGGGGCCGGGUCGGAGCGGGAAGGGCCGGGGCUGGGCCGGUGGGGCCAGGCCGGGGGCCCGGCGCUGGCAGAGCGGGGCUGGCGGCGCGCCGGGGGGCCGGGCCGGGCCGGGCCGGGCCGGGCGGGGCGCGGGCGGUGCCGCCGCGUUACAAGAAGCCGCGCAGUUCCAGGAACCCGAGGGCGGGCGUUGCGCCUGCUAUAAGAGGCCGCCCCGGGCCGCCUCGGCAGCUUCGCCGCCGCGCACUGGCCCCGCUCUGCCGCCAGGACCGGCUCCCGCGCCACAGGUGAUGGUGUAGCAGCGGCUGCUGCUGGCAGCAGCAUCCAGAGCACA